Trachemys scripta elegans is the source of this 845-nucleotide long non-coding RNA. RefSeq lists it as uncharacterized. The transcript has 4 exons. Lineage: Eukaryota; Metazoa; Chordata; Testudines; Emydidae. The record is from RefSeq and is a predicted model, not a curated record.
AUGUGCUUGGCUGCAUGACACAUGAAGAUACAGCAUAUAUUUAAAGAACUAACACUAGUUCAAAGUACCUGCUUGCAAUUUUAAACACAAGAAUCCAAUACACUUCUAAUGGCAGCAAGGAGAUUGGAAAAAGAAAAGAAAAGAAAAAAAGCACAUACAAAACAGCAAAUCAACAACAGCCAGGCUGAGAGUGCUUAGAAAACCCACUGUAAAUUGUGAGGUGAUGGUGACGCCAGUACAAGUGUCUGUGCCUCUGUUUAGAAUCAGUGGGCUAUCACGCUCUCCAUCGAUCUUCCUCAGCAUGGAUCACUCCAAGUAAACAGAGGAGGACAGCAAGUGCAAUAAAAAGGUGGAACAAUGUUAAUGUUUGCAGAUCCUGUUUCUCAAGAGGAAGUUUUAACUCUUUCUGCACACAGCCACAUUUCAGCCACCUUGCUGUCCCUGUACUUCCUUGUCAUGGCUGGAACUGGAAGCAGGCGGUACUGUGACAACAUAAGAAAGCCCAGACUCGGGGUAAUUUCCUCCCACCUGACGGGAAGCUGGGCAUUCUAGAUGUCUCACAAGAAAGCAUAUGAACAUCAGGCUUCCAAUCUGAAUUUGCAAGCCCAGGUAGUUGGGAAAAAGCUUGGAGAAACAUCCAAACUCUCACAUGCUUGUGCGAACUAAAUAUCUAACCAUCUGAGGUCUCCCCUGUGGUGUAUUUAGUCGUGCAACUGUGAUGCCUUUGGUUUCUGUAUUCUGCACCUUUAAAUCUGCAAGGACUCAGCCGUCUGCAGAGACGGGCAGCCAUUUUGUGUUCAAAUGACUGUAAGUUGUCAGAGGAGCCAUAAACACUGUCUGCCGUC